GGGAUUGCCCUAGUAACGGCGAGUGAAGCGGCAACAGCUCAAAUUUGAAAUCUGGCGCAAGCCCGAGUUGUAAUUUGUAGAGGAUGCUUCUGGGUAGCGACCGAUCUAAGUUCCUUGGAACAGGACGUCAUAGAGGGUGAGAAUCCCGUAUGUGACCGGCCCGCACCCUUUACGUAGCUCCUUCGACGAGUCGAGUUGUUUGGGAAUGCAGCUCUAAAUGGGAGGUAAAUUUCUUCUAAAGCUAAAUACCGGCCAGAGACCGAUAGCGCACAAGUAGAGUGAUCGAAAGAUGAAAAGUACUUUGGAAAGAGAGUUAAAAAGCACGUGAAAUUGUUGAAAGGGAAGCGCCUGCAACCAGACUUCGCGGCAGUGUUCCGCCGGUCUUCUGACCGGUUCAUUCUCUGUCGCGAGGCCAUCAUCGUCUGGGCCCGCCGGAUAAGACCUUAGGAAUGUAGCUCACCUUCGGGGGAGUGUUAUAGCCUAGGGUGAUGCGGCGAGGCUCGGGCGAGGUCCGCGCUUCGGCAAGGAUGAUGGCGUAAUGGUUGUCGGCGGCCCGUCUUGAAACACGGACCAAGGAGUCUAACAUCUAUGCGAGUGUUCGGGUGUCAAACCCCUACGCGUAAUGAAAGUGAACGGAGGUGGGAACCGCAAGGUGCACCAUCGACCGAUCCUGAUGUCCUCGGAUGGAUUUGAGUAAGAGCAUAGCUGUUGGGACCCGAAAGAUGG
RNAcentral lists this ribosomal RNA (726 nucleotides) under Septoria villarsiae. Its description in RNAcentral is "eukaryotic LSU rRNA". It matches the Rfam family "Eukaryotic large subunit ribosomal RNA", at positions 71 to 826 of the family's 3401-position model. The record is from RNAcentral. Lineage: Eukaryota; Fungi; Ascomycota; Dothideomycetes; Mycosphaerellales; Mycosphaerellaceae.